Molecule: long non-coding RNA, 1283 nt
Organism: Oncorhynchus nerka (sockeye salmon)
Lineage: Eukaryota; Metazoa; Chordata; Actinopteri; Salmoniformes; Salmonidae
Exons: 5
Source: RefSeq, a predicted model, not a curated record
CACAGCACCAUUUCCUCCUCUCAGCCAGCACCAGAUCAGGUAACUGUUUCAAACCUGUCAAAGGACCAUCAUUUUGUUUGCCUUAUGUUCUGCUGUUGGUCUGAGCAGAAAAUAUUGGACCAACGUCUGGUUCUGCAGUUGGUCAGUAUGUGUGGAAGACGUGCAUUCAGGCUUUCUCUGCUUCUGCUGGUGUGGGGUGUGUGCACAGCCUUAGAAGAGAUUCAAGUGAAAACAGGAGCAGAUUUGGGCACUCCUGCCUGUCCAAACCAAACCAUUCAUAACAUGAUGUAUGUAAUAUGUAAGAUAGAUAGAGUGAUAAGUGGUGGGAGUGAGUGUCAAGUGUCUCUUCGGUUUGGCAAUAAUGGUACAGACAGCACUUGUGACCCCAGAGUCACACUACAGAAAGAGAGUGACAGAGUGUUUCUACACAUCACCAACAUACAACCAUCUGAUGAAGGGAACUACACCUGUGAGUGUGUACAUAAUGGAGUGACACAUUUUUGGCAUCUCAACAUUUCAGUCAAUGAAUCCCAUGUCAUGAUAAUAACAGCCUUUGCAGGAUUUGUAGCCGUCGUGGUCCUUGUUGGAAUAAUCAUGUGGAAAUGUCAUCUCAACAGGAGAACACAGCAGAAAGCGGUGUACACAUUUAAGGAGGAGGAGCAACAGGACAUUGAGCCCUACAACACGUUCACAAGGAGAGACAAUGGGCUUUACUCAACUCUGCAGCUGCCGCAUCCUAACCCCUGACCUCUGGCACCGUUGACCAAUGACGACAUGGCAUUAGACACCUUUUUCUAUCACUAGGGGUUAAAUACUAUUUCACCAGCCCUGGAUAUACAACUGUACAGUAUGUCCAUUUACUGUAUAUCUUGAUUACUGUAAUGCCCCUAUUUUUACAGCUGAUACACUGACUUUAUAUAGUUCCAUUGAUUGGUUACUGACACCUGGCUGAAUAGGUCCUGUACUGUAGAUAGUCUUCUGUUGCUGUAAAUAUCAGCACUUACUGUAUGAAUCAUGCACAUUAUGUUACGUAUAACCAAUGUUCCUGUGGACAGAUGUGAUCAUGUGCAUUUCCACCAGGUGUCAAUGUUUUGCAUUUGUAAAAUAUAUUCCUUGCAGCAGUAUGUACAGUCAUCAUCACAACAUGCUUCAUGACAAUGCAUUUUCCUUGCUUUCAAUGGUCCAUCGCCAUUUAUCAUGUAGGCCUACAUGAAUUACAUGUUCAGGUGAAGAGAUGUAACGACAAAACUAAAGCAUUCAUUAAAACUUCACUUCCAAACAGA